AAUAGAUACCCAGGUAGUCCACGCCGUAAACGAUGAGUGCUAAGUGUUAGAGGGUUUCCGCCCUUUAGUGCUGCAGCUAACGCAUUAAGCACUCCGCCUGGGGAGUACGGCCGCAAGGCUGAAACUCAAAGGAAUUGACGGGGGCCCGCACAAGCGGUGGAGCAUGUGGUUUAAUUCGAAGCAACGCGAAGAACCUUACCAGGUCUUGACAUCCUCUGCCAACCCUAGAGAUAGGGCGUUCCCCUUCGGGGGACAGAGUGACAGGUGGUGCAUGGUUGUCGUCAGCUCGUGUCGUGAGAUGUUGGGUUAAGUCCCGCAACGAGCGCAACCCUUGAUCUUAGUUGCCAGCAUUCAGUUGGGCACUCUAAGGUGACUGCCGGUGACAAACCGGAGGAAGGUGGGGAUGACGUCAAAUCAUCAUGCCCCUUAUGACCUGGGCUACACACGUGCUACAAUGGAUGGUACAAAGAGCUGCGAACCCGCGAGGGUAAGCGAAUCUCAUAAAGCCAUUCUCAGUUCGGAUUGGUA
This 528-nucleotide ribosomal RNA is filed under the name uncultured bacterium. RNAcentral's name for it is "bacterial SSU rRNA". It matches the Rfam family "Bacterial small subunit ribosomal RNA", at positions 777 to 1303 of the family's 1533-position model. The record is from RNAcentral.